GCACCUAAAGCAAACUACGAUAUUCAUAAGUGAUUAUUUUCCUAAGUUUGAGAUUGUUGUGAGGCCAUGCAAAUAUACCUACAAGACAAUUGUAGAAACUAUGAAACAGAACUUGAGGUUUGAAGAGAAGAAUAUCAAAUGAAAAAUUAUUGAGAACCCCCUUAAAAGAGCUUCUCAGGGUAUUCAAAGAAGCAGAGCAGUACAUCAAGCCAUCCCUGGAAAUGAAGGAUUUUUGGGCAAAAGCCAUAGUUCUUUACAAGAAUACAGAUUCUGUUAAAUUUCACAUCCACAAUUUGCUUUCUUGCGUGCCAAUUGUCAUUGAGUCUAUAGAAAUAGCAGGAGAGAUUUCAGGUAGUGACCAUGAUGAGAUACAGAAGAAGAGAUUCAUUUACUCAAUAAAAUAUCAGAAAGAGUGUAAAGACCCAAGAAUUUUCCAAUGGAUAAUUAAAUGAGUUGUACCACAAUGUAUGAACUAAUAGCUCAUCUAAACUAUUAAAUAAUUACAUAGAACCAAAGGCUUAAAACCAUAAAAUCAAUCUACAUCUCAACAUCUUUCAAUCACUAAUUUCCAUAUUUGCACAUUAGUAGUCAAAAGUUCACUGUUAAUGUGACAAAGACUAACCAAAUGGAUACCACAACAAUUAUAUCAUGAAGGAAGUAAAACAGAGAGAUGGUAAUCUCAAAGAAACAGAUAAACCCAUUAGGAUGGCGGACCGAAGGAAAACUAAUACAGAGAGGAAAAUUAAUCAAUAUCUUUCACCAAACUAGUAAAAUGAAUGUAAGAUAAAAUAAACACAAGGAAAAGAACCUGUAGUAUUGCAAAGCAAAGUACUUAUUUAAUAUGAUGAUAACAAUCAUCCUCCAACUUAUACAACAACUCGUUAGAAGUAGAACCGAACAUCGUCGACCUCAUCAACGGAACCUCGGACGACGACCAUCUUAACGACGGCUCGGAUUUUUGAAAGAUCUUGGGGCUGUUUCGUGGUGUUAAAGGGUGAUUUUGGAGCUAGUUUCAUGGCAUUUUUUAGGCAGUAUUUUAGCUGAUUUUGAGCUGGAAUUUCAGCUUAUUUGGGGCUGCUUAAAUGGUAUUUUUGGAGCUAAAAAUGGUAGUGUUUUUGGAGGAAGAAGUAUAAAAGCAGCGGCUCCUCUUUUGCCUUAGCUCUAGGGUGAUUUUUGUUCUCUCUUUUGUGGUGUGGAGCUUGAAAACUGAGAAGAGGUUCCGGCUCUUUUGUGAUGCGGAGCUUGAAAACUGAGAAGAGGUUCCCACUCUUUUGUGAGGAAGAAGCAGAUAAGCAGCGGCCGUCCCUUCACUUAGGAAUUUAGGUUAGCUCUAAUAUCAAAUGGAGAGUGGGUAUAGGCUUGAG
RNAcentral lists this long non-coding RNA (1364 nucleotides) under Nicotiana tabacum (common tobacco). Its description in RNAcentral is "long non-coding RNA (NTAB_LNC013149)". The record is from RNAcentral. Lineage: Eukaryota; Viridiplantae; Streptophyta; Magnoliopsida; Solanales; Solanaceae.